GAUCAUGGCUCAGGAUGAACGCUGGCGGCGUGCCUAACACAUGCAAGUCGAACGGAAUUUACAUGAAGCCUAGCGAUUGUAAAUUUAGUGGCGGACGGGUGAGUAACGCGUGGGUAACCUGCCUUGUACUGGGGGGACAACAGUUGGAAACGACUGCUAAUACCGCAUAAGCGCACUGCUUCGCAUGAAGCAGUGUGAAAAACUCCGGUGGUACAAGAGUCGGCCG
This 226-nucleotide ribosomal RNA is filed under the name uncultured bacterium. Its description in RNAcentral is "partial 16S ribosomal RNA". It matches the Rfam family "Bacterial small subunit ribosomal RNA", at positions 15 to 233 of the family's 1533-position model. The record is from RNAcentral.